RNAcentral lists this ribosomal RNA (434 nucleotides) under uncultured Lachnospiraceae bacterium. RNAcentral describes it as "partial 16S ribosomal RNA". It matches the Rfam family "Bacterial small subunit ribosomal RNA", at positions 341 to 792 of the family's 1533-position model. The record is from RNAcentral. Lineage: Bacteria; Bacillati; Bacillota; Clostridia; Lachnospirales; Lachnospiraceae.
ACGGGAGGCAGCAGUGGGGAAUAUUGCACAAUGGGGGAAACCCUGAUGCAGCGACGCCGCGUGAGUGAAGAAGUAUUUCGGUAUGUAAAGCUCUAUCAGCAGGGAAGAAAAUGACGGUACCUGACUAAGAAGCCCCGGCUAACUACGUGCCAGCAGCCGCGGUAAUACGUAGGGGGCAAGCGUUAUCCGGAUUUACUGGGUGUAAAGGGAGCGUAGACGGUAUGGCAAGUCUGAAGUGAAAUGCCAGGGCUUAACCCUGGAACUGCUUUGGAAACUGUCGUACUAGAGUGCAGGAGAGGUAAGUGGAAUUCCUAGUGUAGCGGUGAAAUGCGUAGAUAUUAGGAGGAACACCAGUGGCGAAGGCGGCUUACUGGACGAUAACUGACGUUGAGGCUCGAAAGCGUGGGGAGCAAACAGGAUUAGAUACCCUGGUA